This 542-nucleotide non-coding RNA is filed under the name Pan troglodytes (chimpanzee). The record is from RNAcentral. Lineage: Eukaryota; Metazoa; Chordata; Mammalia; Primates; Hominidae.
AAACUCCCUUGCCAAGGACACUGGGAGGAAGCAGAAAAGCAAAGACCAAGCUCGUACUUUUCAGUCCGCGGCUUGUGUGCCGCGAGGAGAGGCGCAAAGGGUGACACACCAGGAAAGCAGGUAGCAGGCAAGAGUGUGGUUAUCGUUGGACCAGGAUUCAGGAUCUGACCGAGUAGCUGACUCUUAAUCCAGUUUGUGUUGAUCACCAGGAGGAUCUGGACCUCAGUGUUAUCACAUCUAAAGCUAUAAUCACAUCCCUGUUAAGCCUUCCUGAGAUCACACCAAAUGUCCUUGAUGGGAAUUGUAAACAACCCUUACUUCUGGUUUCUAAUGAUAUUCCAGGAAAGGAGCCUAACUAGAGUCAGUAAGAGGCCAUCCUAGGAAACAAUCCCGUGAGUGAUAUUUCAUGAAUUAUCUUCGUGAACCGGAGCAAGUCGCUUUGCCUUCCUGAACCUUCUCUGAGAUGGAAGGGUGAUCUGAAAAUAUGCCUCCCGGCUAAACCUCAGCCCUGGCUGGCAGAUCUGGCUGGCUAAUGGGACUCC